UCUGAUCCCCUUACACUUGAUUUUAUUCACUGGUAUUGAACAUCAGCGUUUCAAAAUGCCUUCUUGAAGUAUGAGCCUUGUUUCUCUUGAUUUAAACUGGAAACAGAUCUGCUUCUUUGAUGGAUGCUUGCUGGUCUGGUGGGAUGGAUGAAGAGAAUGGACCUACCAGAUGGAGGAGCAGAGCUUGAAAGCAGAACAGAGAUGGAAGAAUAAAGCUUGAAAGCAGAACCAAGGUCCAUAUCACCACCAAAAAAAAACUUGACUACUUUAAAAAAGAAGUGAAGAAAAAAAAAUCAGGACCUUGGACUCUUCUGAAAUGCCAAGGAAGAGGCAUUUCUUGUGGGUUGAGCACCUCAGAGGCUUCUGUGUGCUUUGUGUCAUCACCAGAGAGGUAGGCCAGCGUGGCAUGUGGUAAUGGUGAGGACAAGACCAACUGGUCGGUGCAUCUCAGAUGAGAUGGUGUUAUGACAAAGCCAUGAACAGGACUGACUGCCAGAAUUACUGUCCCGAGGAAAUCUUAUGCCUCCUUGGAAAGCAAGGACUCAAAAUCAGAGAUGUUUGGCUUUCUAAAGAGCUUCAAGAAGCUCUCCCCUAGCCAGCAGCAUGUUGGUACUCAUGCAGCUGGACACGCACCCCUAGACGCAGGGGUGUAUGCACACACACAAGCACGUGUGUAUUUCACUAUUUUGCUCAGUGUAUUUUGACCUUCAGCACCAAAGUAGGACUCACUUCUGACUGCAGUGUUUAUGUCAAAGCUGAUACAUCUUCAUCACUCACCAGGGCUUUUCAUCAGACAAAGGGGCUGUGUCACCUUUCCUCUCUUUUCUUCUGAGUCUCCUUUCUAUCAUGAGCUUUUAGAGCUGCGAUAAACAGGAGUGAGCCAUACACAGCAUAAUGAUAACCGAGAUGAGAGUGUCAAAUCUACAUUCACUCUAUGUGCAAGUGUUACUGAAGGAGAAGACACCAGGGAAGGGUGAGCAGAAGUGGCAAAAACAAAAGGGCAACUGCAAUGGAAAUGGGAUGAGGCUUACCCAAAUUCUGUUAAAAUAAUAAACCAUUUUAUGAAAAAUCUACAUCAGAUUAGAGAGAUGCCAGAGCCACAAUCCUAGACUUGUUUUAAAAAACUUAUGGAGGUCAGCUCAUCACCUCUGAAUGUUAUUUUCAAUAGCAAACCUCCCUGCAAUGGUGUUUCUUGGUCUAGAGAGUCACAGUCUUGCAGACCCGAAGUCUGGGGCAAAGACCUGUUUGUGAAGACAGAGGCCAGAGACAAGUCUGCUUGCUGAAAACAGAAACACAAAAAAUUAAUAAAGAAUUUAAAUUCAACAGCAGGUCAUGAAAUAAUAUGUUUUCAAGGGAAAAGAAAUCACUGUCAUAUGUAAAAAUGUGCUUCAUAAAAGGGGAAGAGGAUGUGCCUUUGGCAGUUUGGAUGUGCCUGCAACUGGGAGACUUCCUGGGAUAUUGGUCUGCCCUUUUUUGAAAGACACUGAGAAAUGAAAGGGGGUCAAGAAAAGACAACUGCAAUAAAAGGAAAGCAUGAGCACAGUGAGCCUCCAAAACCAGAGACCCUGUGAGUUUUGAGAAGUACCUCGCUUCGUGGCUUGGGACAGAGCCCCUGUGAGGACCUACUGCAUGUGCCUCACACUUGAGGAAAAUGAGGGAGAAUAGGACCCACCUUGCAAAGGUACUAGGCAAAACUGAUGGCUCUGGGUCCUUAAUACAAUAAAAAUCCAGGCUUAAGGGAGCAGACAAAAUUUGCAAAUUAAACCUGUGACAGAGUAGAAAACUGCAGUCUGGUAUCCUUAACUACUGAAAUAUCCUUUCCAUGUGUAUCUCUAUAUAAUUUACAUAAUAACAGGUGCUAUUCUAAUGAAAGGAGGAAAAAAAAAAGACAAGCACAAGAAAUUAUAUAAAUGGCAAUAUGGUUGUGGAAAAGAGCUAAAGUAACUGUACACAUAGUUGUGAAACCCUGGCUUGAAGAAGGACAAGACAGUAUUUCCUGUAAACAUAUUGUACUACUGUAAAAACAAGCAGGAAAACGUUGGGUUAUCAAGAGAAAACCCCAAUGCUUAAUGAUGGGGACGGCUAGGAAAGUGUCACAUGAGAUCAUUAGGUCAUCCUCAUUAGAGAAGUUUAAAAUUACUUUUGCUAAAGUUCAAGAGAGAGUUAUGUGGAGGAAGCUCUUGUGUGUUUUAGAGACUAGACCAAGAGGGGCAUCUACAGUUUUAUGUGAACAAAGACAAAAUGUCAUGUGAGAUAUUAAUUGGAUCUUUAUUUAGCUGAAAUUCAAGACCUGCAGAUGAUGGUUCUGUGGUUUGUCACCAAUAGUCUGGCCUGCAGUUCUCAAGUUUGCUCUAAUGCUCUCCAUUUUAUUUACAUAAUAGAGAUUUUCUUCCUUCCUUCUUUCCUUCUCACAGAGUAACUCUGCCUUUGAAGUUUUCAGUACUGAAGGGUUCAUUCUUCUGGUUGAAGGCUUGUGUCCUUUCCUUAUUACAGGGUAACUCUUAAGAGGCAGAGGAGGAUGGACACAGUGAUGAGAUCCUCUCUCAGACUGAAGACAGAUUAGGAAAGCUUUUCUGUCUCUUUUACCUCAGCAUACUUUAAAAUAUGUACCUGGUCUUUCUUGGAAGAACAACUCCAUCAGUGUUUGCUCUAGCUCUUCCAUAGCUCUGCAGAUGUGCAGAUUACAAAGCACACAUCCAUCCCUGUAACCUGGUAUGCCAAUGACAAAACCUCACUGCACAAUGUUAAUUCAUCCCUCUGCUUUUGGCUUUCCUUCCACAGAGCUUCUGGGGGCAUCCUUCCCCAAGACAGGGAGAGCAAGGACAGACAGGAGACACCAGGGAGAAGACUGGCAUGAUCUUGAUUUUGUGGCAGCACAGGCACAAGAAUUUCUGGAGUGGAGUUUGAAAUACCUCUUGGUUUGCAUAGCGGAGAUAAAUUGCACUAAAUAGAAUGGGGAACAUGACGGUAAUUAACAGAAAUGAAAAGAUUUAGCUGUCCAAGUUGAAAGAGGUAGCUGGCCAGCAAAGGAAUGGCUCUAUGUCUGUUUGGAGGGUCAUGUAUCUCAGACAUGCUCUGUAGUUGGUCUGCUGCCUUUUCAGUAAAGUCAUAUUUGUUCUCCCAUUGGGUCUGGCAGAAGCACCAAGGGCAGGAGCUUCUCAGACUUUCACUACCCAAAUUCUAUUGGAAGAUACAGUGAACACUCCCCAGUUUUAUCACACCACAGGGACAGCCUAGGCUUAGGGACGGUUUU
Oxyura jamaicensis (ruddy duck) is the source of this 3253-nucleotide long non-coding RNA. RefSeq lists it as uncharacterized. NCBI's taxonomy places the organism in Eukaryota, Metazoa, Chordata, Aves, Anseriformes, Anatidae. The record is from RefSeq and is a predicted model, not a curated record. The transcript has 2 exons.